UAUGACGUCAUUCUCGUGGCGGUGACGUCGUUCGCGUCACUCUCCCGGGCUGGCUGGAGGCGGGCCCGCGGCCUGGCGUCGGGGAGUGAGAUGCAGCUGAAAUGUUGCUCUUAGCAACAGCCAGACCACUUGAGGCGAAUUCAGCCGUUUCCCCAGGCAACCUCAACAACAAACUUCUGGGACGAUCCCUGUGGGUGGGAGGCCCUGCUGGGUGGAAAUUGAGGGGUGCAAAAAGCCAGCAAUGACCAAGUGUGGUGCCUGCGAGCCAUGGGUGUUGACCAGAAGAAAAGGAAGG
Long non-coding RNA from Numida meleagris (helmeted guineafowl), 295 nucleotides. RefSeq lists it as uncharacterized. The transcript is spliced from 2 exons. Lineage: Eukaryota; Metazoa; Chordata; Aves; Galliformes; Numididae. The record is from RefSeq and is a predicted model, not a curated record.